Molecule: ribosomal RNA, 144 nt
Filed under: Piptocephalidaceae sp.
Lineage: Eukaryota; Fungi; Zoopagomycota; Zoopagomycetes; Zoopagales; Piptocephalidaceae
Description: partial small subunit ribosomal RNA
Rfam family: Eukaryotic small subunit ribosomal RNA
Source: RNAcentral
GGCCCACUUCUUAGAGGGACUGUCGGCGUUGCAGCCGAAGGAGGUUUGAGGUAAUAACAGGUCUGUGAUGCCCUUAGAUGUCCUGGGCCGCACGCGCGCUACACUGACGGAGCCAACGAGUUCAUUAACCUUGGCCGAAAGGCC